Molecule: long non-coding RNA, 1171 nt
Filed under: Homo sapiens (human)
Lineage: Eukaryota; Metazoa; Chordata; Mammalia; Primates; Hominidae
Description: mir-99a-let-7c cluster host gene
Source: RNAcentral
GUGUGAGAAUUCCUGGCCAGUUGAAGGGUCAGGGCCUGUGCGUUAUCUGACUGCCAGCAAGAUCACUGGUGUGUCCUCUUAUUUUUAACUUAAAAUAGGAAAAAAAAAAGUGCAUCUUUACAUAUUAAAAAAUCUUCAGGAAUUUUACUGGGAUAAUUAUCCAAAUAAAUUGCAAGCAUUCUAUCCAAAUGGAGCUCUUUCUGAGAUGAAGAGAAUUCUCAAUGUCAAGAUUUGAACAAGAAGAGAAUGGAAUACACAAUAUGGACAUCCAUAAAAAUUCAUCAGAGAGCAUUUUACUACUGAGCUGCAAAGGGAAAAACUUAAAAUGGAUAUGAAAAGUGAAGAAAGUGAUCAUAGGAGAAAACCAUUUCAGAUCAACCACCUCAGAAGAGCCAGAUUCCACUUCUGUGGCCAGGACUUUUACAUUAUGGCUGGUCCGAUUGUUUUACCCUGCGUUCUAUGCUACUAAACCUUGGAUCAUUCCUAAAGUACAAAUUCUGUUCUCGAACCACAAACAAGGCGGGCGGAUCACCCAAGAAUGGGAUAACUGCCUGGCACUCACCAAGCUACACUUGAAGAGGAUCAAUCCAUGUCAUCAUGUCCCCAAUUUCAUAGCACCAAGUAUUUUGUUUAUUCACAAAUGCCCUAUUAUGGACAUCUAGCAAACAAUGAUACAUCAGAAAAGGAGAUGUGCAUAAAUUUUCAUGGAAUAAGGGAUGCGCAUGAAAGAAUGUGCCACAGAAAAUGAGACACAUCAAUGAGGGUUGUGGAAAAUGCACUAGAAUCAACAAACAUGGGGACUAAUUCAACUCGGAUAUCAUGUCUUCAGAGAAGUUUCUCCUGCCCUCCUCUCCCUGUAGAAUUAAGUAUUCUUCCACUGUGCCACCCUCUAACUUGUGCUCAUAUCUUCCUCUAUUGUAGUUAUGUGUUCACAUCCCUGUUGUUUUUGUACCGGCUUCUCCCAAAGGGAGACAUUUAGUCUUAUUCUUCUUGGUAACUUUAGCACAGACCUGGCAGAUUGUUGACACUCAACAAAUGUUUAUUGACUCAAAUGCAUUCAGUUGAACAUUGACCUUUGAUCAACUCUGGGAAAAGUCUGCAAAGCUAGUUAGGACAUUCAGAAAUUCAUUUCAUUUCAAUCCUAACUAAAUAAAUUAUUGAAGUCUCAGAA